Molecule: ribosomal RNA, 233 nt
Filed under: uncultured Rikenellaceae bacterium
Lineage: Bacteria; Pseudomonadati; Bacteroidota; Bacteroidia; Bacteroidales; Rikenellaceae
Description: partial 16S ribosomal RNA
Rfam family: Bacterial small subunit ribosomal RNA
Source: RNAcentral
GCCAGCGUAAGCUGCGAGGAAGGUGGGGAUGACGUCCAAAUCAGCACGGCCCUUACGUCCAGGGCUACACACGUGUUACAAUGGCCGGUACAGAGGGCAGCCACCCCGCGAGGGGGCGCGAAUCCCGAAAGCCGGUCCCAGUUCGGAUCGGAGUCUGCAACCCGACUCCGUGAAGCUGGAUUCGCUAGUAAUCGCGCAUCAGCCACGGCGCGGUGAAUACGUUCCCGGGCCUU